This 99-nucleotide ribosomal RNA is filed under the name Trichoderma viride. RNAcentral's name for it is "5.8S ribosomal RNA". It matches the Rfam family "5.8S ribosomal RNA", at positions 59 to 154 of the family's 154-position model. Rfam says of the family: 5.8S ribosomal RNA (5.8S rRNA) is a component of the large subunit of the eukaryotic ribosome. RNAcentral also lists the same sequence under 9 other names. The record is from RNAcentral. Lineage: Eukaryota; Fungi; Ascomycota; Sordariomycetes; Hypocreales; Hypocreaceae.
UAAGUAAUGUGAAUUGCAGAAUUCAGUGAAUCAUCGAAUCUUUGAACGCACAUUGCGCCCGCCAGUAUUCUGGCGGGCAUGCCUGUCCGAGCGUCAUUU